GAAUAAUAUUAUAGUAAAUGUGUUAACAUGGCCUAAGUCCAGGAAUAUUACAAAAUUCUUGGGCAUGUUUUGACCAUUUAAUACCAGAUAAAUAUAUAGUUCUUUGGGAAAAUAUGAGCUCUUUUGUACUAAAAAGUUUUAUUUACAAAAAAAUAUAUUGUAACUUAUAUUGACCCCUCAUAAAAAGGAUAUUUAUAAAAUUGAGGGGUUGUUCCCAACCUGAUUAUGACUUGGAUGGAGAAUUGUCUCAUUAAUUGGCACACAUACAUAUACCAAAUCUAAUUAUU
This 287-nucleotide long non-coding RNA is filed under the name Mytilus galloprovincialis (Mediterranean mussel). The record is from RNAcentral. Lineage: Eukaryota; Metazoa; Mollusca; Bivalvia; Mytilida; Mytilidae.